Molecule: ribosomal RNA, 571 nt
Filed under: Sclerophrys arabica (Arabian toad)
Lineage: Eukaryota; Metazoa; Chordata; Amphibia; Anura; Bufonidae
Description: partial 16S ribosomal RNA
Rfam family: Bacterial large subunit ribosomal RNA
Source: RNAcentral
CGCCUCUUGACCCCCAUAAGAGGUCCAGCCUGCCCAGUGACUCUGUUCAACGGCCGCGGUAUCCUAACCGUGCGAAGGUAGCGUAAUCACUUGUUCUUUAAUUGUGGACUAGUAUGAAUGGCACCACGAGGGUUAUACUGUCUCCUUUCUCUAAUCAGUGAAACUAAUCCCCCCGUGAAGAAGCGAGGAUAUAAAUAUAAGACGAGAAGACCCUAUGGAGCUUAAAACAUCAUAGCAACUGCCACCACAACAUAUAAGUUUCCGAAUACUUUACUCUUUCGGUAAAAUGACUAUAAGUUUUUGGUUGGGGUGACCGCGGAGCAUAAAACAACCUCCACAUUGAAAGACUUAAGACCUCUAAGCUAAGACCUACAAAUCUAGGCAUCAGCACACUGACAUUCAUUGACCCAAUAUAAUUGAGCAACGAACCAAGUUACCCUAGGGAUAACAGCGCAAUCCACUUCAAGAGCCCCUAUCGACAAGUGGGUUUACGACCUCGAUGUUGGAUCAGGGUAUCCCAGGGGUGCAGCCGCUCCUAAAGGUUCGUUUGUUCAACGAUUAAAACCCUACG